RNAcentral lists this ribosomal RNA (253 nucleotides) under uncultured bacterium. RNAcentral describes it as "partial 16S ribosomal RNA". It matches the Rfam family "Bacterial small subunit ribosomal RNA", at positions 524 to 776 of the family's 1533-position model. The record is from RNAcentral.
UACGUAGGGGGCAAGCGUUGUCCGGAUUUAUUGGGCGUAAAGAGCUCGUAGGCGGUCUGUCGCGUCGGUUGUGAAAACCCGGGGCUCAACCCCGGGCCUGCAUUCGAUACGGGCAGACUAGAGUUCGGUAGGGGAGUCUGGAAUUCCUGGCGUAGCGGUGAAAUGCGCAGAUAUCAGGAGGAACACCGGUGGCGAAGGCGGGACUCUGGGCCGAUACUGACGCUGAGGAGCGAAAGCGUGGGGAGCAAACAGG